This 253-nucleotide ribosomal RNA is filed under the name uncultured bacterium. RNAcentral's name for it is "partial 16S ribosomal RNA". It matches the Rfam family "Bacterial small subunit ribosomal RNA", at positions 524 to 776 of the family's 1533-position model. The record is from RNAcentral.
UACGGGGGGGGCAAGCGUUGUUCGGAAUUACUGGGCGUAAAGGGCGCGUAGGCGGCCUGUUAAGUCGAACGUGAAAUCCCCGGGCUCAACCCGGGAACUGCGUCCGAUACUGGCAGGCUUGAAUCCGGGAGAGGGAUGUGGAAUUCCAGGUGUAGCGGUGAAAUGCGUAGAUAUCUGGAGGAACACCGGUGGCGAAGGCGGCAUCCUGGACCGGUAUUGACGCUGAGUCGCGAAAUCCAGGGGAGCAAACGGG